GGGGAGAUGUCAUUUGUUUACUUACUUAUAAUGUAAACUAUAUUAAAACUGCCUUUAAGAUGAGCAUGAAGCACAACAACAAGAUACAAUUUCAACACUCAUGAGAAGGAAUAGUCCAAGUCAUUGCUGGUCUAUGUCAUGGAUGUAUUUUGAUCAGAAGCAGCUCAAUAAAAAUGCAGAUGCUUCAGCCGAUUGUACAAAUAAAAAAAACAAAAAAACAAAAAACAACCCAGAAAUCAUUUGCAAUGACACUCAUGCACGUUUACAAUACUAAAGUAUGAGUGCACUUAAACAUGUACAUUCUAAUAUGCUGAUGCCUUCUGCAUGAUAAAUACUUUAUAGCAAAGUAAGAGCACACUACUACACUCUGAUAUGCCAAAAUGAGCAAUUCAUCGUUACAUACUAUAAUUAAUCUAGCAGUUUUACAGGAGUGAGGUCAAUAUGGGACUGCAUGCCCUGCUUCUGUACAUGAAUGCUGAUGUCUGUGUGCCGCUUGUGGUGUUUACUACUAUAGUGUUCUAAAUGUGAGUACAUGGCUCUAUUAGUGUAUACCAUUUUCCUAAUGGUACAUAUCUACAAUUAGCAUUACUUUAUUUUAGGAUUUUUUUACAUCCCUCAAGUAUUAAACGUAACCUUUUUGGUCUCAUAGUAGGCCUAUAUGGAGUGUUAAGAGAGUGUAGUGAUAUGAGAGGUAAAAGUUGGCAAUCUCAAGAUUUUCUCACUAUUUGUGUUUCCGCUGCAGGUAUCAAGCCACCAAAGUCAAGUAUUCUGAGAGACACAUCCAAGGAAUGAAUGAAUAAAUAAAUAAAUACAAUUUAUCAUACACUUUACAUUACAUACAGUACAUUCCUUGAGUAAAUACCAUAUUUACACAUGCUAUCAGGGUGACUGGAUGUGAGGCAGCCUCUCGCUACAAGUUGCACGAUACGGAUCAGUCAUUUGUGUGGAAACACGGGCACAUCAAGUCACUUUGCCGGAGCCUUUACCCUCGUAGAUCGAACCCCUUCCUCUGGAGCCGUGGCUCCACUGACCCAGCCCGCCAGACCUGUCCGGAGGGUGAGCGUGCCGAGGAGGGGAGCCAGAUAAGCUAGACGGAGAGCGGCUACGGCCCUGCAGUGCCCCGCCGUCGCGGAGCUCCCGGGACGGGGAGGAGCUGAGCGAACGCUGUAGGGAGGAAGAUGAGUUGCGAGGGCAAGGAGGCGGGCUGAAGAGCAUCCCGCUGCGGUCCUGCAUCAGCUGGGUCAGGCUUGCCAGGAAGUCUGCGUCGCUGGUGCUGCUGGCACGCACCCUUAACCGCCGCCGUCUGCAAAAAAAAAAAAAAAACAACAAAAAAAAAAAACAACAAAACAAAUUCUCAGCAACAGCUACUUGAAUUACUGUGUAUUAGUAUUAGCUGCCAUCAUUAGGAUUAUUACAUAUUUAUUUAUCGUUCUAAUUUAUUAUAGUAAAGAACCUAUUUUUAUUAUUCUGUUAUUUUAAUAGUAUGAUUUUUUAUGUUUGUCUGUAUACACAAAGUUCAGCAGUGCUUCCAGUUUCAUUGUAUGGUUAUCCUAUUGGCAGUGUCCAUCCUUUUGUUGUUGUUUGUUUUCAAACAGACCUAAUAUGACGGAGGGAUGCUUUGAUUUUUAAAGCAGUCAAAGAAAAAAAUUGCCAUAUUUUCACCUUUUUUUUUUAAACUCUGUUUUCUCAAACAGAAUCAUAGAGUUGAUUUUUUUAAUGUAAGGCUGUAGUUUCAUUUCUUUUGUCACUUUUGUUGACAAAACAAAUUUGUUUUGUCUCUGCUGUGUUAGAUAUACAGUUAUGUAUUGCCCAGAUGUCCCAGUUUUACACUGGGAGUUAACUACAGCGUACAUUCAUGGAUCUGUCCGAAGCCGGCAGCGUGAAAUUAGUCUCAAAACUCCACGUGGGCAUGCAUCGUAAAAUCGUAUGUAUUUGUAAAUUAAUUUUAUGUUUGGUCAAAUUGCUUCGUAUUUGUGUGUGGAUUAGAGCGGGCAUUCAUGAGUCCUCAAAAGUUACACACAAAUCACGUCAGACAUUUGCAAAUUUUACUGUUUACUGAUUCAGAGUUUAGAGUUAACUGGUUAGCAGCAGCUGAACAUUCAGAACAGGAAUGAGUGGAUUAUUAUUAGUAGUACAUCAAGUAUAGAUCAUUUCUUUUUCUUGGGCAGGUGGGAAAAAAAACAAAAAAAAAACAAAACCAUACUGGGAAACAAUGACUGUAUCACAUUUCCACAGUCUGGACCACAUACCUGUUGUCUACACAUGGGCGGAUGGGCGGUUUCCCAGGAGGUGGCCGGGGCAGAAACCUGCUAGUGAGUUGCUCCGGCACAAACGUGGCACUCACAGGACGUGGGAUUUUACUUUUACUGCAUGAUGACAAGGACAGCGAGAGAGGGUCUUCUCCUGCACAGUCGGAUCUGGAGCCUCGGUCUGAGGAGAGCCUGUCUCUGGGCAGGGCGCAGGGGAGGUUGUCACAGGACAGAGAUGGAGAGGGUGAGUGGGUGGGGGAGCCGGGGAUGGGACUGCUCCAGCGGUUACGCUUCUCUAUGUUCAGGUCCCUGCUCGGAGAGUCCAAGGGGUUGCUUGGAUCUCGGACAGGGAUUCGACUCAACCUUGGCGAUGAGGGAGAGUCCCUUCGUUUGAGCAGAGCAGGAGGCGGCGAGGAGGACACGGUGACUGUGCUCUCCACAGCACCCCCCACGGUGUCGGCUUGAGGUUGCUGAUUCGGUUCCGAUGAGCGAUCGGGCAGACCAGAAUCGCUCUCUGGGUCUCUGUCGUUGGCCAGAUGAGCUGUGGGGCCUUUGGCAAGGCUUGGGACCGGCGCUAAGUCCAACUUCCCUUCCUCAGAUUUACCAGAUGGUGCCUCUAGAGAUCCUUGCUCUAGCUCCAGCAUCACCCACUCCUGAGAGUCUCCCUCUUGAGGCACGGGACUAAAGUUUACAGCAACAAAGCCGCUGCUUGCUGCGCCUUCCUCUGGGUCGGGGGUUGCUGUGCCAGAGCGCUCCUCGUUGCAGGAAGACGUCUGUUGUUCAGGCCCUUUUUCAGGAAUUGACUUUUCUCCAACAUGAGAAAGAACAGGCCGCUGUUUGCCCAGG
This is a long non-coding RNA of Oreochromis aureus, 3095 nucleotides long. NCBI's taxonomy places the organism in Eukaryota, Metazoa, Chordata, Actinopteri, Cichliformes, Cichlidae. The record is from Ensembl.